UUAACAAAAACAUGUCUUUUUGAGUUAUUUUUAAAGUCUGACCUGCCCACUGAAGUUAUUUAAAUGGCCGCAGCAUUCUAACUGUGCAAAGGUAGCAUAAUCAUUAGUCUUUUAAUUGAAGGCUGGUAUGAACGGUUGGACGAGGUAUAAGCUGUUUCAUAUAAAUUUAUAGUAGAAUUUUAUAUUUUAGUCAAAAAGCUAAAAUUUAAUUAAAAGACGAGAAGACCCUAUAAAUCUUUAUACUUUAUGUUGUUUAAAUUUUUUGGAUUAAUUUUAUUUUUUUAAUUUAAAGUAUUUUGUUGGGGUGAUAUUAAAAUUUAAUGAACUUUUAAUUAUUUAAAAUCAUUAAUUUAUGAGUUAUUGAUCCAUUAGUAGUGGUUAUAAGAUUAAGUUACUUUAGGGAUAACAGCGUAAUUUUUUUGGAGAGUUCAUAUCGAUAAAAAAGUUUGCGACCUCGAUGUUGGAUUAAGAUAUAUUUUUAGGUGUAGCCGCUUAAAUGUUAAGUCUGUUCGACUUUUAAAUUCUUACGUGAUGUGAGUUC
RNAcentral lists this ribosomal RNA (541 nucleotides) under Bactrocera opiliae. RNAcentral's name for it is "partial 16S ribosomal RNA". It matches the Rfam family "Bacterial large subunit ribosomal RNA", at positions 1804 to 2612 of the family's 2925-position model. Lineage: Eukaryota; Metazoa; Arthropoda; Insecta; Diptera; Tephritidae. The record is from RNAcentral.